Molecule: non-coding RNA, 70 nt
Organism: Podarcis lilfordi (Lilford's wall lizard)
Lineage: Eukaryota; Metazoa; Chordata; Lepidosauria; Squamata; Lacertidae
Source: the annotation of a GenBank genome assembly
GGAUAGCUCAGUUGGUCAGAGCAUGGCGCUGAUAAUGCCACGGUUGAAGGUUCGAUCCCCGUGUGGGACA